UACAGAGGUGGCAAGCGUUGUUCGGAAUUACUGGGCGUAAAGGGCGCGUAGGCGGCCUUCUAAGUCAGACGUGAAAUCCCCAGGCUUAACUUGGGAACUGCGUCUGAUACUGGGAGGCUUGAGUGCGGGAGAGGGAUGUGGAAUUCCAGGUGUAGCGGUGAAAUGCGUAGAUAUCAAGUGGAACACCAGUGGCGAAGGCGAGUCCCUGGACAAUUCCUGACACUGAGGCACGAAAGCUAGGGGAGCAAACAGG
Molecule: ribosomal RNA, 253 nt
Filed under: uncultured bacterium
Lineage: Bacteria
Description: partial 16S ribosomal RNA
Rfam family: Bacterial small subunit ribosomal RNA
Source: RNAcentral